This 76-nucleotide transfer RNA is filed under the name Lachnospiraceae bacterium. RNAcentral describes it as "tRNA-Leu". It matches the Rfam family "tRNA". From Rfam's summary of the family: Transfer RNA (tRNA) molecules are approximately 80 nucleotides in length. Their secondary structure includes four short double-helical elements and three loops (D, anti-codon, and T loops). Lineage: Bacteria; Bacillati; Bacillota; Clostridia; Lachnospirales; Lachnospiraceae. The record is from RNAcentral.
GCCUCUGUAGCAGAAUUGGAAUAUGCGCCGGGCUAAGAACCCGGGUCUUUUGCGGGUUCGAUCCCCGCCGGAGGUA